GACGAACGCUGGCGGCGUGCUUAACACAUGCAAGUCGAACGAUGAAGCCGGAGCUUGCUCUGGUGAAUUAGUGGCGAACGGGUGAGUAACACGUGAGUAACCUGCCCUUGACUCUGGGAUAACUGCGGGAAACUGUAGCUAAUACCGGAUACGACCCUCGGAGGCAUCUCCUGGGGGUGGAAAGAAUUUCGGUCAAGGAUGGACUCGCGGCCUAUCAGCUAGUUGGUGAGGUAAAGGCUCACCAAGGCGACGACGGGUAGCCGGCCUGAGAGGGUGACAGGCCACAGUGGGACUGAGACACGGCCCAGACUCCGACGGGAGGCAGCAGUGGGGAAUAUUGCACAAUGGGCGCAAGCCUGGUGCAGCAACGCCGCGUGAGGGAUGAUGGCCUUCGGGUUGUAAACCUCUUUUAGCAGGGAAGAAGCGAAAGUGACGGUACCUGCAGAAAAAGCACCGGCUAACUACGUGCCAGCCGCCGCGGUAA
RNAcentral lists this ribosomal RNA (484 nucleotides) under uncultured bacterium. Its description in RNAcentral is "partial 16S ribosomal RNA". It matches the Rfam family "Bacterial small subunit ribosomal RNA", at positions 28 to 523 of the family's 1533-position model. The record is from RNAcentral.